This 430-nucleotide ribosomal RNA is filed under the name Candidatus Uhrbacteria bacterium RIFCSPHIGHO2_02_FULL_46_47. Its description in RNAcentral is "bacterial SSU rRNA". It matches the Rfam family "Bacterial small subunit ribosomal RNA", at positions 1 to 357 of the family's 1533-position model. The record is from RNAcentral. Lineage: Bacteria; Candidatus Uhriibacteriota.
UUAUUGAGAGUUUGAUCCUAGCUCAGGGUGAACGCUGGCGGCGUGCCUAAGGCAUGCAAGUCGAACGAAUUUAUUUUCAGUAGCAAUACUGAAAACUGAUUAGUGGCAAACGGGUGCGUAACACAUUGGUAACCUGCCCGUGAGAUGGGUAUAACCCCGCGAAAGCGGGGCUAAUCCCCAAUGGAGAUGCGGGGAUGCAAAUCAUUCGCAUCUAAACGGAGGACAGAUGACAGAGGACAGAUGACGGACUACCAACAUUCCGUCUUCCGUUUUCCGUUUUCUGUCUUCCGCUCACGGAGGGGCCUAUGGUCUAUCAGCUAGUUGGUGGGGUAACGGCCUACCAAGGCUACGACGGAUAGCGGGUUUGAGAGAACGGCCCGCCUCAGUGGAACUGCGACACUGUCCACACUCCUACGGGAGGCUGCAGUCA